Molecule: microRNA precursor, 67 nt
Filed under: Oryzias latipes (Japanese medaka)
Lineage: Eukaryota; Metazoa; Chordata; Actinopteri; Beloniformes; Adrianichthyidae
Also listed under: 1 other name
Description: mir-722 microRNA precursor family
Rfam family: mir-722 microRNA precursor family
Source: Rfam by way of RNAcentral
AUUUGAAACGUUUCAGCCAAAAAUGUUUCCAUUGUCAAGGUGUUUUUUGCAGAAACGUUUCAGAUUU